This is a long non-coding RNA of Oncorhynchus keta (chum salmon), 2143 nucleotides long. RefSeq lists it as uncharacterized. The transcript is spliced from 8 exons. The record is from RefSeq and is a predicted model, not a curated record. NCBI's taxonomy places the organism in Eukaryota, Metazoa, Chordata, Actinopteri, Salmoniformes, Salmonidae.
GACUGACCAGAGAGAGGUGAGACUGACCAGAGAGAGGUGAGACUGACCAGAGAGAGGUGAGACUGACUAGAGAGGUGAGACUGACCAGAGAGAGGUGAGACUGACCAGAGAGAGGUGAGACUGACCAGAGAGAGGUGAGACUGACUAGAGAGGUGAGACUGACCAGAGAGAGGUGAGACUGACCAGAGAGAGGUGAGACUGACCAGAGAGAGGUGAGACUGACCAGAGAGAGGUGAGACUGACUAGAGAGGUGAGACUGACCAGAGAGAGGUGAGACUGACCAGAGAGAGGUGAGACUGACCAGAGAGAGGUGAGACUGACUAGAGAGGUGAGACUGACUAGAGAGGUGAGACUGACCAGAGAGAGGUGAGACUGACCAGAGAGAGGUGAGACUGACCAGAGAGAGGUGAGACUGACUAGAGAGGUGAGACUGACCAGAGAGAGGUGAGACUGACCAGAGAGAGGUGAGACUGACCAGAGAGAGGUGAGACUGACCAGAGAGAGGUGAGACUGACUAGAGAGGUGAGACUGACCAGAGAGAGGUGAGACUGACCAGAGAGAGGUGAGACUGACCAGAGAGAGGUGAGACUGACUAGAGAGGUGAGACUGACCAGAGAGGUGAGACUGACCAGAGAGAGGUGAGACUGACCAGAGAGAGGUGAGACUGACCAGAGAGAGGUGAGACUGACUAGAGAGGUGAGACUGACCAGAGAGAGGUGAGACUGACCAGAGAGAGGUGAGACUGACCAGAGAGAGGUGAGACUGACUAGAGAGGUGAGACUGACCAGAGAGAGGUGAGACUGACCAGAGAGAGGUGAGACUGACCAGAGAGAGGUGAGACUGACUAGAGAGGUGAGACUGACUAGAGAGGUGAGACUGACCAGAGAGAGGUGAGACUGACCAGAGAGAGGUGAGACUGACCAGAGAGAGGUGAGACUGACUAGAGAGGUGAGACUGACCAGAGAGAGGUGAGACUGACCAGAGAGAGGUGAGACUGACUAGAGAGGUGAGACUGACCAGAGAGAGGUGAGACUGACCAGAGAGAGGUGAGACUGACCAGAGAGAGGUGAGACUGACUAGAGAGGUGAGACUGACUAGAGAGGUGAGACUGACCAGAGAGAGGUGAGACUGACCAGAGAGAGGUGAGACUGACCAGAGAGAGGUGAGACUGACCAGAGAGAGGUGAGACUGACCAGAGAGAGGUGAGACUGACCAGAGAGAGGUGAGACUGACCAGAGAGAGGUGAGACUGACCAGAGAGAGGUGAGACUGACCAGAGAGAGGUGAGACUGACCAGAGAGAGGUGAGACUGACCAGAGAGAGGUGAGACUGACCAGAGAGAGGUGAGACUGACUAGAGAGGUGAGACUGACCAGAGAGAGGUGAGACUGACCAGAGAGAGGUGAGACUGACCAGAGAGAGGUGAGACUGACCGGAGAGAGGUGAGACUGACCAGAGAGGGGUGAGACUGACCAGAGAGAGGUGAGACUGACCAGAGAGGGGUGAGACUGACCAGAGAGGUGAGACUGACCAGAGAGAGGUGAGACUGACCAGAGAGAGGUGAGACUGACCAGAGAGGGGUGAGACUGACCAGAGAGAGGUGAGACUGACCAGAGAGGGGUGAGACUGACCAGAGAGAGGUGAGACUGACCAGAGAGGGGUGAGACUGACCAGAGAGAGGUGAGACUGACCAGAGAGGGGUGAGACUGACAAGAGAGGUGAGACUGACCAGAGAGAGGUGAGACUGACCAGAGAGAGGUGAGACUGACCAGAGAGGCGAGACUGACCAGAGAGAGGUGAGACUGACCAGAGGGGUGAGACUGACCAGAGAGAGGUGAGACUGAGCAGAGAGACAGGAGACUGACCAGAGAGAGGUGAGACUGAGCAGAGAGACAGGAGACUGAGCAGAGAGAGGUGAGACUGACCAGAGAGAGGUGAGACUGACCAGAGAGAGGUGAGACUAACCAGAGAGAGGUGAGACUGACCAGAGAGACAGGAGACUGAGCAGAGAGAGGUGAGACUGACCAGAGAGAGGUGAGACUGACCAGAGAGAGGUGAGUCUGACCAGAGAGAGGUGAGACUGAGCAGAGAGAGGUGAGACUGACCAGAGAGAGGUGAGACUAACCAGAGAGAGAUGAGACUGAC